AACCGCUCCAAGUUAAUGAUA
Molecule: unclassified non-coding RNA, 21 nt
Filed under: Dictyostelium discoideum
Lineage: Eukaryota; Evosea; Eumycetozoa; Dictyosteliales; Dictyosteliaceae
Source: RNAcentral